Molecule: non-coding RNA, 70 nt
Organism: Ciona intestinalis (vase tunicate)
Lineage: Eukaryota; Metazoa; Chordata; Ascidiacea; Phlebobranchia; Cionidae
Source: RefSeq
UUUAAAUAACAUGAUCUUUGCUAUCGUUUUUUAAAAAAAAGAUAAAUAAAAAUGAUGUUAUUUUAGGUUU